GACGAACGCUGGCGGCGUGCUUAACACAUGCAAGUCGAACGGAAAGGCCCUGCUUUUGUGGGGUGCUCGAGUGGCGAACGGGUGAGUAACACGUGAGUAACCUGCCCUUGACUUUGGGAUAACUUCAGGAAACUGGGGCUAAUACCGGAUAGGAGCUCCUGCUGCAUGGUGGGGGUUGGAAAGUUUCGGCGGUUGGGGAUGGACUCGCGGCUUAUCAGCUUGUUGGUGGGGUAGUGGCUUACCAAGGCUUUGACGGGUAGCCGGCCUGAGAGGGUGACCGGCCACAUUGGGACUGAGAUACGGCCCAGACGCCUACGGGAGGCAGCAGUGGGGAAUAUUGCACAAUGGGCGGAAGCCUGAUGCAACAACGCCGCGUGCGGGAUGACGGCCUUCGGGUUGUAAACCGCUUUCGCCUGUGACGAAGCGUGAGUGACGGUAAUGGGUAAAGAAGCACCGGCUAACUACGUG
This 468-nucleotide ribosomal RNA is filed under the name uncultured bacterium. Its description in RNAcentral is "partial 16S ribosomal RNA". It matches the Rfam family "Bacterial small subunit ribosomal RNA", at positions 28 to 507 of the family's 1533-position model. The record is from RNAcentral.